Molecule: ribosomal RNA, 367 nt
Filed under: Priestia megaterium
Lineage: Bacteria; Bacillati; Bacillota; Bacilli; Caryophanales; Bacillaceae
Description: bacterial SSU rRNA
Rfam family: Bacterial small subunit ribosomal RNA
Source: RNAcentral
UGGGCGUAAGCGCGCGCAGGCGGUUUCUUAAGUCUGAUGUGAAAGCCCACGGCUCUACCGUGGAGGGUCAUUGGAAACUGGGGAACUUGAGUGCACAAGAGAAAAGCGGAAUUCCACGUGUAGCGGUGAAAUGCGUAGAGAUGUGGAGGAACACCAGUGGCGAAGGCGGCUUUUUGGUCUGUAACUGACGCUGAGGCGCGAAAGCGUGGGGAGCAAACAGGAUUAGAUACCCUGGUAGUCCACGCCGUAAACGAUGAGUGCUAAGUGUUAGAGGGUUUCCGCCCUUUAUUGCUGCAGCUAACGCAUUAAGCACUCCGCCUGGGGAGUACGGUCGCAAGACUGAAACUCAAAGGAAUUGACGGGGGCC